AGAGUUUGAUCCUGGCUCAGAACGAACGCUGGCGGCGUGCUUAACACAUGCAAGUCGCGUGCGCAGUUUCCGUAGCAAUACGGAGAUGGGCGCACGGCGCACGGGUGCGUAACACGUGGGCAAUCUGCCCUUUGAUGGGGAAUAACCCGCCGAAAGGGGGCUAAUUCCGCAUAAGAUUCCCGGAACUUCGGUUCUGGGAUUGAAAGCAGCAAUGCGUCGAAGGAGGAGCCCGCGCCCGAUUAGCUAGUUGGUGAGGUAACGGCUCACCAAGGCUAUGAUCGGUAGCUGGUCUGAGAGGAUGAUCAGCCACACUGGAACUGAGACACGGUCCAGACUCCUACGGGAGGCAGCAGUGGGGAAUCUUGCACAAUGGGCGAAAGCCUGAUGCAGCGACGCCGCGUGGGGGAUGAAGCAUUUCGGUGUGUAAACCCCUUUCGACUGGGACGAAUGCCUCGCAAGAGGAGUGACGGUACCAGUAGAAGAAGCCCCGGCUAACUACGUGCCAGCAGCCGCGGUAAGACGUAGGGGGCCAGCGUUGUUCGGAAUUACUGGGUGUAAAGGGUUCGUAGGCGGUGCGGCAAGUUGGGAGUGAAAUCUCUGGGCUCAACCCAGAGGCUGCUUCCAAAACUGCUGUGCUCGAGUGUGAGAGAGGCGCGUGGAAUUGCAGGUGUAGCGGUGAAAUGCGUAGAUAUCUGCAGGAACACCCGUGGCGAAAGCGGCGCGCUGGAUCACUACUGACGCUGAGGAACGAAAGCUAGGGGAGCAAACAGGAUUAGAUACCCUAGUAGUCC
This 791-nucleotide ribosomal RNA is filed under the name uncultured bacterium. RNAcentral's name for it is "bacterial SSU rRNA". It matches the Rfam family "Bacterial small subunit ribosomal RNA", at positions 8 to 796 of the family's 1533-position model. The record is from RNAcentral.